UACGUAGGGGGCAAGCGUUGUCCGGAUUUAUUGGGCGUAAAGAGCGUGUAGGCGGCUAGGUAGGUCCGUUGUGAAAACUCGAGGCUCAACCUCGAGACGCCGAUGGAAACCAUCUGGCUAGAGUCCGGAAGAGGAGAGUGGAAUUCCUGGUGUAGCGGUGAAAUGCGCAGAUAUCAGGAGGAACACCGAUGGCGAAGGCAGGUCUCUGGGCCAUAACUGACGCUGAGAAGCGAAAGCAUGGGGAGCGAACAGG
RNAcentral lists this ribosomal RNA (253 nucleotides) under uncultured bacterium. RNAcentral describes it as "partial 16S ribosomal RNA". It matches the Rfam family "Bacterial small subunit ribosomal RNA", at positions 524 to 776 of the family's 1533-position model. The record is from RNAcentral.